GAUGAAAGAACGUAGUGAAAUGCGAUAAGUAAUGUGAAUUGCAGAAUUCAGUGAAUCAUCGAAUCUUUGAACGCACAUUGCGCCCGCCAGUAUUCUGGCGGGCAUGCCUGUCUGAGCGUCAUUUCAACCCUCAUGCCCCUAGGGCGUGGUGUUGGGGAUCGGCCAAAGCCCGCGAGGGACGGCCGGCCCCUAAAUCUAGUGGCGGACCCGUCGUGGCCUCCUCUGCGAAGUAGUGAUAUUCCGCAUCGGAGAGCGAUGAGCCCCUGCCGUUAAACCCCCAACUUUCCAAGGUUGACCUCAGAUCAGGUAGGAAUACCCGCUGAACUUAAGCAUAUCAAUAAGCGGAGGA
This 349-nucleotide unclassified non-coding RNA is filed under the name soil metagenome. RNAcentral describes it as "partial contains 5.8S ribosomal RNA, internal transcribed spacer 2, and large subunit ribosomal RNA". The stretch from base 6 to 121 matches the Rfam family "5.8S ribosomal RNA", at positions 39 to 154 of the family's 154-position model. The record is from RNAcentral.